CUACGGGAUGCACCAGUGGGGAAUAUUGCACAAUGGGGGAAACCCUGAUGCAGCAACGCCGCGUGGAGGAUGACGCAUUUCGGUGUGUAAACUCCUUUUAUAUAGGAAGAUAAUGACGGUACUAUAUGAAUAAGCACCGGCUAACUCCGUGCCAGCAGCCGCGGUAAUACGGAGGGUGCAAGCGUUACUCGGAAUCACUGGGCGUAAAGCGCGCGCAGGCGGCCUUUUAAGUUGGAUGUGAAAGCCUAUGGCUUAACCAUAGAACUGCAUCCAAAACUAUCAGGCUAGAGUCUGGGAGGGGAAGAUGGAAUUAGUUGUGUAGGGGUAAAAUCCGUAGAGAUAACUAGGAAUACCAAAAGCGAAGGCGAUCUUCUGGAACAGUACUGACGCUGAGGCGCGAAAGCGUGGGUAGCGAACGGGAUUAGAUACCCUAGUAGUC
This 439-nucleotide ribosomal RNA is filed under the name uncultured bacterium. Its description in RNAcentral is "partial 16S ribosomal RNA". It matches the Rfam family "Bacterial small subunit ribosomal RNA", at positions 339 to 795 of the family's 1533-position model. The record is from RNAcentral.